GAUGAAGAACGCAGCGAAAUGCGAUAAGUAAUGUGAAUUGCAGAAUUCAGUGAAUCAUCGAAUCUUUGAACGCACAUUGCGCCCGCCAGUAUUCUGGCGGGCAUGCCUGUUCGAGCGUCAUUUCAACCAUCAAGCCCCCGGCUUGUGUUGGGGACCUGCGGCUGCCGCAGGCCCUGAAAAGCAGUGGCGGGCUCGCUGUCACACCGAGCGUAGUAGCAUACAUCUCGCUCUGGGCGUGCUGCGGGUUCCGGCCGUUAAACCACCUUCAUAACCCAAGGUUGACCUCCGAUCAGGUAGGAAGACCCGCUGAACUUAAGCAUAUCAAUAAGCGGAGGA
RNAcentral lists this unclassified non-coding RNA (336 nucleotides) under soil metagenome. RNAcentral describes it as "partial contains 5.8S ribosomal RNA, internal transcribed spacer 2, and large subunit ribosomal RNA". The stretch from base 1 to 120 matches the Rfam family "5.8S ribosomal RNA", at positions 35 to 154 of the family's 154-position model. The record is from RNAcentral.